CCGGUUGAUCCUGCCGGACCCCACUGCUAUCGGGAUAGGACUAAGACAUGCUAGUCGAGCGCCUCCCAGCCACGACGGAGGCGCGGCGCACAGCUCAGUAACACGUGGCUAACCUGCCCUCGGGACGGGAAUACCCCCGGGAAACUGGGGCUAAUCCUCGAUAGGUGAAGAACUCUGGAAUGAGUCUCCGCCCAAAAGACGCUUAAAUCAUGCUUUUAGGCGCCGCCCAAGGAUGGGGCCGCGACCGAUCAGGUAGUUGGUGAGGCAACGGCUCACCAAGCCUUUAACCGGUGCGGGCCGUGGGAGCGGGAGCCCGGAGAUGGGCACUGAGACAAGGGCCCAGGCCCUACGGGGCGCAGCAGUCGCGAAAACUUUGCAAUACACGAAAGUGUGACAGGGCUAUCCCGAGUGCCAUCCGCUGAGGAAGACUUUUACCCAGUCUAGAAAGCUGGGAGAAUAAGGAGAGGGCAAGUCUGGUGUCAGCCGCCGCGGUAAUACUAGCUCUCCGAGUGGUGUGGAUGUUUAUUGGGCCUAAAGCAUCCGUAGCUGGCCAAGUUAGUCCCCUCUUAAAUCCACCGAAUUAAUCGUUGGUGUGCGGGGGACUCUGCUCGGCUAGGGGACGAGAGAGGCCGACGGUAUUUUCGGGGUAGGGGUGAAAUCCUAUAAUCCCGAGAGGACCACCAGUGGCGAAGGCUGUCGGCUAGAACGCGCCCGACGGUGAGGGAUGAAAGCUGGGGGAGCGAACCGGAUUAGAUACCCGGGUAGUCCCAGCUGUAAACGAUGCAGGCUAGGUGUUUGGGCGGCCACGGGCCGCUCUAGUGCCGCAGGGAAGCUGUUAAGCCUGCCGCCUGGGGAGUACGGUCGCAAGGCUGAAACUUAAAGGAAUUGGCGGGA
RNAcentral lists this ribosomal RNA (894 nucleotides) under uncultured archaeon. RNAcentral's name for it is "bacterial SSU rRNA". It matches the Rfam family "Archaeal small subunit ribosomal RNA", at positions 4 to 873 of the family's 1478-position model. The record is from RNAcentral.